GACGAACCGUACGAACGUUAUUCGGAAUCACUGGGCUUAAAGGGUGCGUAGGCUGCGCAGCAAGUUGGGUGUGAAAUCCCUCGGCUUAACCGAGGAACUGCGCCCAAAACUGCUGUGCUCGAGGGAGAUAGAGGUGAGCGGAACUUAGGGUGGAGCGGUGAAAUGCGUUGAUAUCCUAAGGAACACCGGUGGCGAAAGCGGCUCACUGGAUCUCUUCUGACGCUGAGGCACGAAAGCUAGGGUAGCGAACAGG
This 253-nucleotide ribosomal RNA is filed under the name uncultured bacterium. RNAcentral's name for it is "partial 16S ribosomal RNA". It matches the Rfam family "Bacterial small subunit ribosomal RNA", at positions 524 to 776 of the family's 1533-position model. The record is from RNAcentral.